RNAcentral lists this ribosomal RNA (293 nucleotides) under uncultured eukaryote. Its description in RNAcentral is "partial 18S ribosomal RNA". It matches the Rfam family "Eukaryotic small subunit ribosomal RNA", at positions 6 to 303 of the family's 1831-position model. The record is from RNAcentral.
GGUUGAUCCUGCCAGUAGUCAUAUGCUUGUCUCAAAGAUUAAGCCAUGCAUGUCUAAGUAUAAACUGCUUAUACUGUGAAACUGCGAAUGGCUCAUUAAAUCAGUUAUAGUUUAUUUGAUGGUACCUUUACUCGGAUAACCGUAGUAAUUCUAGAGCUAAUACGUGCGUAAAUCCCGACUUCUGGAAGGGACGUAUUUAUUAGAUAAAAGGCCAGCCGGGCUUGCCCGACCUUAGGCGAAUCAUGAUAACUUCACGAAUCGCACGGCCUUGUGCCGGCGAUGUUUCAUUCAAA